GAUGAACGCUGGCGGCGUGCCUAAUACAUGCAAGUCGAGCGAACAGACGAGGAGCUUGCUCCUCUGACGUUAGCGGCGGACGGGUGAGUAACACGUGGAUAACCUACCUAUAAGACUGGGAUAACUUCGGGAAACCGGAGCUAAUACCGGAUAAUAUAUUGAACCGCAUGGUUCAAUAGUGAAAGACGGUUUUGCUGUCACUUAUAGAUGGAUCCGCGCCGCAUUAGCUAGUUGGUAAGGUAACGGCUUACCAAGGCGACGAUGCGUAGCCGACCUGAGAGGGUGAUCGGCCACACUGGAACUGAGGCACGGUCCAGACUCCUACGGGAGGCAGCAGUAGGGAAUCUUCCGCAAUGGGCGAAAGCCUGACGGAGCAACGCCGCGUGAGUGAUGAAGGUCUUCGGAUCGUAAAACUCUGUUAUUAGGGAAGAACAAAUGUGUAAGUAACUAUGCAUGUCUUGACGGUACCUAAUCAGAAAGCCACGGCUAACUACGUG
Molecule: ribosomal RNA, 497 nt
Filed under: uncultured bacterium
Lineage: Bacteria
Description: partial 16S ribosomal RNA
Rfam family: Bacterial small subunit ribosomal RNA
Source: RNAcentral